GUUCCCGGCUCGGCUCUGGCAGCCCCAGCUCGGCACUUGGCAGCUCUGUCCCUAAGGCGACGCACCUGGGCUGCUCUGCUGGCAGCCCCUGGUUCCUGCUUCACCGUCGCGUGGAGGCCUGGGGCACUGCUUUCUGCUACACCUCUCCUAGGAGCGCGAAACAGAUGGAGUGACACUCGUCGAGGGCCUCUGCGGGACUGUCUGUUUGCAGAGGGUGCCAAGGUGUCCACUGCGUAAGGAAGGGCAAAGUCCUUUGGGGCAAAGAACCCUGAGAGGAACGGGGAGAUGGAUUUUGAAAGCAAACGAACCCUCUCCUAAAAGUGACUGUCACUGACCUGAAAACAACCAGAUUAGCUAUGGCAAAGGCUGCCAACCAACCAGUGGUCUGCAAGAAGGCUUGUUCUUCCACUUCACCCACCCUGACUGAGAUCUUGAGACUGAAGGAAACCCAAAGCCGUACCACCAAUGGGCCUAGUGUCAUCAACCGGGAGAGGAAAAAGAAAACUGGGCCCAGAGGAUUGCAGAGUUAUGAGGGACCAACCCCUUCCUGGCUGCAUGGAUCACAGCAUUACCUUUUAAAAGUGUUCCAGUAGCUGUGUUGGAAACCCUCUAACCACGGCAGCCCAUUCAGGUGAUGAACAGGCUGAAAUCAGUACUUCAGGUUCAGCUGGAUUAUCAAAUAAGCGAAUAGGAUUAUCUCUUUUUGUUAACUCAGGGCUGCUAUAAAUUAAGCCUAUGUCUCUUUAUAUUGCAAAUGAUUAAAACCAUGUCCAAGAGAGACAUACUUAGAAAAAAAGUGAUAUUGAAGAAAAAUAAGUAACUGUAUUAGAGUAGAAUAACUGGUUUUAAAAUUUUCUGCAAUACAGUCUUGAGAAAAUUCCUGGAUGGUAAAAUACAUAUUAGAUCUUAAUACAUGCCCAGUUUUUUUUGAAACCAAAAUGUGCCUGUUAGAUGAUGAUAACAGCAUGCCUCGUUUUAUUGUGAUUUGCUUUAUUGCUCUUCACAGACAUUGCUUUUGUUUUUUUGUUUUUUUUUUUUACAAAUUGAAGGUUUGUGGCAACCUUGCCUCAAGCACAUCUAUUGGUGCCAUUUUUCCAACAGCAUGUGCUCACUUUGUGUCUCUGUGUCACAUAAUAUUCAAUAAUUUUUGCAAUAUUUAAAUUUGUUCAUCAUUAUUAUAUCUGGUAUAGUGCUUUGUGAUCAAUGAUCUUUGAUGUUACUAUGGUAAUUGUUUUGGGGUGCUGAUAUGGUUUGGCUGUGUCCCCACCCAAAUCUCAACUUGAACUGUAUCUCCCAGAAUUCCCACGUGUUGAGGGAGAGACCUAGGGGGAGAUAAUUGAAUCAUGGGGGCCAGUCUUUCCUGUGCUAUUCUCAUGAUAGUGAAUAAGUCUCAUGAAAUCCGAUGGGUUUAUCUGGGGUUUCUGAUUUUGCUUCUUCCUCAUUUUUCUCUUGCUGCAGCCAUGUAAGCAAGUACCUUUCACCUCCCGCCAUGAUUCUGAGGCCUCCCCCGCCAUGUGGAACUGUAGGUCCAAUUAAACUUCUUUUUCUUCCCA
Homo sapiens (human) is the source of this 1553-nucleotide long non-coding RNA. NCBI's taxonomy places the organism in Eukaryota, Metazoa, Chordata, Mammalia, Primates, Hominidae. The record is from Ensembl.